Cotesia glomerata is the source of this 1402-nucleotide long non-coding RNA. RefSeq lists it as uncharacterized. NCBI's taxonomy places the organism in Eukaryota, Metazoa, Arthropoda, Insecta, Hymenoptera, Braconidae. The record is from RefSeq and is a predicted model, not a curated record. The transcript is spliced from 4 exons.
GCUGCUGUUGGCAGCCAGACUGUAUGCACGGGGUGUCUGUGGGUCGUGGGUGAGCGCGCAGUCGGCUCUUUACUUCCCCACCGCUGUUAAACUUAUCCUUUUCCGUCUCGUUCUUUCUUCAGGAGAGUCUCCGGUCUACACUCUGCUAUACUCUGACUCCGAGUAGUUUCCGUCUGCCUGUGCCUGCUAAAGUAGUGAGCCUGAAAGAAGACAACACUAACAUUAUUUCAUUGUACGUGUAGACGAUUAACCAGAUAGAAGAGACCAGUACAGAGUUUACAGAGUUAGCUACAGAUAGUAUGUAGGAUGAAUAAGAGAAUAAGAAGAAAAAGAAGAAGAAAAUAAGAAGGUGAGGCAGGCCGGGCAAGUAACGGCAAGGCGAGCAACCCAGACUCAACUGGUGAAAGAGACCGAGAUCAUGUAUUAGUAUAGCUAGUUGACCUGGGCGAAGAAGUGGGGACUGGAAGCCCCGAGACAGAGAUAUAGAAGAUAUCAAGGGGAUUAGUUGAGGUAGGAGUUGUCAACAGUGGCUGCUUUUCUUGGUCUAUUUCUUCUGGGAGUUGUCUGCAAGUAUUUCCCUGUGCUCUGUACUGGUUUCGGGCACUCUGCUGAUAUUAUGAGAAAAAUAUAUACUGAUGCUCAGAAUCACAAGAUUGGAGUAGCUGAGCUUUAAUAAUAAAAUGAAUAAAAAAUGUUUACAGUGACCGCAGGAUGAAAUUCCAGGCGUUAGUGAGUCACGAUUUCAUGAUGAUCGUCCGGUAAAAGCCAUAAAUAUUACUUUAAAUGGACUUGAGGGUAAACGCUCGCGGACAUUGAAAGUGAUAUAUCUGCAGCAGUUUGUAUGUAGUUAUAAAAAAAAACCAGAGAGCCAAAGUAAAGGACUCGUUUUGGUGUUGAUAUACAAUAGCGUAAAGACCUGACCGUUUAAAGCCGCGGAAUUACUCGGGUUUAUUUGCAUGUCUUUGGUUUAGUUCCCCAACAUCCAACAUCCAAUACCAGUACAGUACAGUACUCAGCUCUAAUGUAACAGCAAGUACGCAAAGAGAAAGAUAAAGACCAAUAAAAGUAACAAGAGAGGGAAGUAAUCCUACUACAAGUACAAAUUAAUCGUGCUACUGCUAGCAAUGAAUGCCGUUGCGUCGGUGCAACGCCGAGAGUAUAACCAUUCACUUUUCCUGUCGCCCAACGUGACUAAAUUAUUCCUCUACCACUGGUGACUACCAACACUCAUUACUUCUAGGUAUAAUCACAACAUGCGCGUUAUUUUUGCUGGUAUACGGAUAAAAUUAUUGACUUCGCAGGUUUUCACCGCUUCUGUUCUAGUUACAGUUCAAGAUUCAGGAGGAAUUCCGUGCUAAUUAUUAAUAUUUUUGUGAUGAAAUUCAUUACCAGAAAACUGAAA